CCCCUCUCAGGAUUGCAUCUGGAGAUUUCCAGUACCCUACCAGUUUUGGCUACAGGAGGAAGAGUCAAGCAGAGGCAUACCCAUUCUAUUUCUAGCUUGGGCCAUGGCUAGUGAGUGGAAGGCAAUCUGCUACAAGU
Molecule: non-coding RNA, 137 nt
Organism: Ornithorhynchus anatinus (platypus)
Lineage: Eukaryota; Metazoa; Chordata; Mammalia; Monotremata; Ornithorhynchidae
Source: Rfam